GAUGAACGCUGGCGGCGUGCCUAAUACAUGCAAGUCGAGCGAACAGACGAGGAGCUUGCUCCUCUGACGUUAGCGGCGGACGGGUGAGUAACACGUGGAUAACCUACCUAUAAGACUGGGAUAACUUCGGGAAACCGGAGCUAAUACCGGAUAAUAUAUUGAACCGCAUGGUUCAAUAGUGAAAGACGGUUUUGCUGUCACUUAUAGAUGGAUCCGCGCCGCGUUGGCUAGUUGGUAAGGUAACGGCUUACCAAGGCAACGAUGCGUAGCCGACCUGAGAGGGGAAUAGGCAACCUGGAACUUAAGAAACGGUCCAGCCCCCUACGGGGGCCACAGGCGGGGAAAUUACGGCAUGGGGCGAAAGCCUGAAGGGGAAAGGCAGCGUGAGGAAGGAGGAUCUUGGGUUCGUAAAACCCUGUAGUGGGGGAAGAAGAAAUGUGUAGUAAAUUAUGCGCGUAUGAAGGUAACCAAAUCAGAAACCCCCGGCUACCGCCAU
RNAcentral lists this ribosomal RNA (496 nucleotides) under uncultured bacterium. Its description in RNAcentral is "partial 16S ribosomal RNA". It matches the Rfam family "Bacterial small subunit ribosomal RNA", at positions 28 to 506 of the family's 1533-position model. The record is from RNAcentral.